AUGGUGGGGAUAGAUGGCUUGUGUGGGUUAGCCGUUAGCCUAGCCCGGAUACCUCCGCGCUUACCCCUCUUCUGCUUCCUCUCACGCCGCUUGUGGCGCCUCCGCUGUGGGCGAGAUGCAGUAGUGGGGGUCGGUGAUGAUGUAGGCCUCCGGAGCAGUACAUCCAGCAGAAACUCACGACUGUAUGCGCGCUUAAAGACAGAUAGACGCGAUGACGACGUACAAAAACACUGCGACUCACAAGACAAAAAACACGAAAACACCGUUCUGUCGGGACAGAGAGAAGCCGCUGCGUGUGGACGCGCCGCCAUCUUGGUUUUUAUACAAUUUCCCUUACAUUAUAACAGCAAGGGAAAAGUACUUCUCGCAACAAUAAGGUAACGGGCAGAUCAAAUCCCUACUGCGAUAAUUAAAGUCAGUAGCAGCUUACUUUCGUUAAACAACCACUAAAGGAGAAAAAAUAUACACUCAAUAUGCCCAUAUGUACACUUGAAUUAAUUGUACCUUAACGAAAAAUCAGUAAGACACAAAUUCCACCAAUUGUAUUGAAAGAUAUAUCAUAUUAAUACCCCGUCGGCAACAUGCAGAUAUUUCAGUGAUGGAGACACGACCACACUCCGAUACAUCAAACAAAGCAGUUGCAAACUUUAUCACAAUAUCCCACACACAUUUAACCCUCAAAACCCCAAUGUCCCAAGGCCUUGGCCAACAGACCGAAAGUUCAUUCAACCCACAUAAAUUGUCUGUCGCAGGGAGAAGAAAAAACAACCCAACAAAAAUACCAGGACAAGCGUGGCGAGAAGCCGCAGUCAAUGUAUUCCCCGUGAACUUACGCAGUCUCGCCACAGUCUGUUUAGCCGAUGAGAAGCUGUAGUAGUCCAAGGGGAAAAAAGCGGCAUCUCAUCCACCAAAAAAGGGUUUUUUCUUUUAGUCCCUUUGGUGAAUUCCUCCAGCAACUAUUACACAGAGCCCGCUAGACUCAGGCCGCUUUCCCGAUUGAACUCCGAAGUUCCUCCUCCCCGUCCGUCACUUCCCCUUCUCCUUAAAACAUAUUGCGUGACAAAACCAUAAUAGGAGGACCAAAAACAAAACAAAUAAAAGUCCUUAUAACAGUCCGUGAUUACGCCACAGGCAUCUGAUAUACAGUUCUCUCAUUUUACACAUGAAGACAAAAACCAAUGCCACAAAGCAUGCUUAUCAUCACCUCAAAAAACUGUACAAUGCCGGCAGAACAGGUGACUAUUACAAUUUUUUUAAAUAAAAUUGCAAGACCAUUUAGAAUGUAAACUACUACCCUUUAAUUAUUUGGUCACAGUUUAUUUUAAAGUCCAAUUCUCACCAUUAACAAACCAUUAACUAUGACAUUUGCCUCAAUAAACUCCUACUUUGUUGCUUAUUAAUAGUUCAUAAGGUAGUUGUUAAAUUUAGGUAUUGGGUAGGAUUAGGGAUGUAGAUUUAAGGUCAUGCAGAUUAUAUGCUUUAUAAACACUACGAAACAGGCAAUUAGCCAACAGUUAUUAAUAAUAGCCAUGCAAAUAAGCAAUUAGUAAAUAGCGAGAAUUGGUCCCUAUACUAAAGUGUUACCAAUUACAAUUUCAUAAACAGAUGAAGCUGUAAGGCUCAUUCUCAGUAAAAAGGUUCUAUGUGUGUCCUCAUGACUCAUUGUGAUUGGAUUUGUGUGUGAAUAAUGAACACCUCACAUUUUUUGAAAGUUAUUGUAUUAAUAUAUAGGGAUAGAUGGAAAAAUUAAGCAGCUGAACAUCUUAUCAAAUAUAGAAAUGUAUACUAAUAAUUACCACAAAUAAUUGAAUGUCAAUCUAUUUUUUAUUAUUCUCUUUCACAUGAUUACAUCCCAUAGGGGCACAAUAAAAAUAUUUUACAGACUAACAGAAAAAAUAAAAAUAUAAUCAAAUGUUAUUUUUAUUUCAAUUGUUCAAAAAUGUAGAAGCCAUAGCUUCAGGGUGGCCAAAGGCCAAAACAAUCAACAAAAGAAAUCUCAAACAAAACAAAGGGUAUAAAAAAUAACCUACACAAAUAAAAAUGCAGAGAACUUGCCUGACUUCCUAACUGAAUAAAUAAAAGUAACCAAAAUAUCACGCAGGUCACCCCUACAAUUCAACUUCUAAUAAAAUUUACAAUAGAAGGUAACAUUGACAAUGGUCAUUGCUAUCUAACUCACGUUUGAUAUAAAAUACUUUUGAUCUGUCGAAAGGAGUCGUCGUCCAUGGAGCCUUCAAUGCAAUGCCAGCAAAUCUGGAAUGAACUCAUGUAAUAGUCAUCUAAUAACAACAAUGCCCUUUUCUUAAGGCACACACCAACAGAUAAGCUUAUAUCAUUCUUCCAAAUGGCUAUAUGCUAUCUGGAUCUUAAAAAUUAAAGGGUGUGAUCAGUAAACACUCAGACGGGCAAAGAAUUGGAUCCAACAUGGAUGUCAGCUGAUUAGCUGAAAAAUAUCAUACAGGAUUUUCAACAUCAUGGACAUCAUCAUGCAGGAGGACAGCACCAGCAGCAGUAGCACACACUUCAACAUCGAACUUAAGAAAAUGAAACAGAAAAAUUGUGAUUGUCUUUUCUUACCUAUUUUUAACUUAUGCGACUUAUAUCCAUGUGAAACAGCUUAUCAUUUUAUCAAAGAUUAUAUUUUCUUCCACUGGGAAUGGAUUGUUGGGACAUUGUUGUUUGCUAAUUACUGCAAUUAUUCAUAAUAAAAAAUGUGAAAUUCCAUUAAUUUAAUUCAUUGUUUCAAGAUUGUUUCAAAGCAGUUUUACAGAAGAUGCAUCUUUUAUUGAUACAGUGUCAUUUGGUCCUAUAGUGAACAGGAAAUCUAUCAUUAAAUAAAAAAAGUUCCCUUAUGGUUCUGAGGCCCAGUGAGCAGUCACGAAUGUGCAUCCCAAGACAGAGGAGGGAAAGCAAAUGAGAAGGAUUAGUGUAGCUGACGUUCAUAUUAUUUCAGGUAAAGAUAAUCGGUAACACUUUAUAAUAACGUUCUGUUA
This is a long non-coding RNA of Cyprinus carpio carpio, 2993 nucleotides long. NCBI's taxonomy places the organism in Eukaryota, Metazoa, Chordata, Actinopteri, Cypriniformes, Cyprinidae. The record is from Ensembl.